This 253-nucleotide ribosomal RNA is filed under the name uncultured bacterium. RNAcentral's name for it is "partial 16S ribosomal RNA". It matches the Rfam family "Bacterial small subunit ribosomal RNA", at positions 524 to 776 of the family's 1533-position model. The record is from RNAcentral.
UACAGAGGGGGCAAGCGUUGUUCGGAAUUACUGGGCGUAAAGGGCGCGUAGGCGGCCUUCUAAGUCGAACGUGAAAUCCCCGGGCUCAACCCGGGAACUGCGUCCGAUACUGGAAGGCUUGAAUCCGGGAGAGGGAUGCGGAAUUCCAGGUGUAGCGGUGAAAUGCGUAGAUAUCUGGAGGAACACCGGUGGCGAAGGCGGCAUCCUGGACCGGUUCUGACGCUGAUGCGCGAAAGCGUGGGUAGCAAACAGG